This 464-nucleotide ribosomal RNA is filed under the name uncultured Klebsiella sp. RNAcentral's name for it is "bacterial SSU rRNA". It matches the Rfam family "Bacterial small subunit ribosomal RNA", at positions 338 to 795 of the family's 1533-position model. Lineage: Bacteria; Pseudomonadati; Pseudomonadota; Gammaproteobacteria; Enterobacterales; Enterobacteriaceae. The record is from RNAcentral.
CCUACGGGUGGCUGCAGUGGGGAAUAUUGCACAAUGGGCGCAAGCCUGAUGCAGCCAUGCCGCGUGUGUGAAGAAGGCCUUCGGGUUGUAAAGCACUUUCAGCGGGGAGGAAGGCGUUAAGGUUAAUAACCUUGGCGAUUGACGUUACCCGCAGAAGAAGCACCGGCUAACUCCGUGCCAGCAGCCGCGGUAAUACGGAGGGGUCAAGCGUUAAUCGGAAUUACUGGGCGUAAAGCGCACGCAGGCGGUCUGUCAAGUCUGAUGUGAAAUCCCCGGGCUCAACCUGGGAACUGCAUUCGAACUGGCAGGCUAGAGUCCUGUAGAGGGGGGUAGAAUUCCAGGUGUAGCGGUGAAAUGCGUAGAGAUCUGGAGGAAUACCGGUGGCGAAGGCGGCCCCCUGGACAAAGACUGACGCUCAGGUGCGAAAGCGUGGGGAGCAAACAGGAUUAGAUACCCUUGUAGUC